RNAcentral lists this ribosomal RNA (253 nucleotides) under uncultured bacterium. RNAcentral describes it as "partial 16S ribosomal RNA". It matches the Rfam family "Bacterial small subunit ribosomal RNA", at positions 524 to 776 of the family's 1533-position model. The record is from RNAcentral.
UACGGAGGGGGCGAGCGUUAUUCGGAAUCAUUGGGCGUAAAGGGCGCGUAGGCGGCUUCAUAAGUCUUGGGUGAAAGCCCUCGGCUCAACCGAGGAAUUGCCUUGGAUACUGUGAAGCUCGAGGCUGGAAGAGGACAGUGGAAUUCCCGGUGUAGCGGCGAAAUGCGUAGAUAUCGGGAGGAACACCAGUGGCGAAGGCGGCUGUCUGGGCCAGUUCUGACGCUGAGGCGCGAAAGCGUGGGGAGCAAACAGG